RNAcentral lists this ribosomal RNA (485 nucleotides) under uncultured bacterium. Its description in RNAcentral is "partial 16S ribosomal RNA". It matches the Rfam family "Bacterial small subunit ribosomal RNA", at positions 27 to 507 of the family's 1533-position model. The record is from RNAcentral.
GAUUGAACGCUGGCGGCAGGCCUAACACAUGCAAGUCGAGCGGAUGAAGGGAGCUUGCUCCUGGAUUCAGCGGCGGACGGGUGAGUAAUGCCUAGGAAUCUGCCUGGUAGUGGGGGAUAACGUCCGGAAACGGGCGCUAAUACCGCAUACGUCCUGAGGGAGAAAGUGGGGGAUCUUCGGACCUCACGCUAUCAGAUGAGCCUAGGUCGGAUUAGCUAGUUGGUGGGGUAAAGGCCUACCAAGGCGACGAUCCGUAACUGGUCUGAGAGGAUGAUCAGUCACACUGGAACUGAGACACGGUCCAGACUCCUACGGGAGGCAGCAGUGGGGAAUAUUGGACAAUGGGCGAAAGCCUGAUCCAGCCAUGCCGCGUGUGUGAAGAAGGUCUUCGGAUUGUAAAGCACUUUAAGUUGGGAGGAAGGGCAGUAAGUUAAUACCUUGCUGUUUUGACGUUACCAACAGAAUAGGCACCGGCUAACUUCGUG